AAGUCGUAACAAGGUUUCCGUAGGUGAACCUGCGGAAGGAUCAUUAAAGUAAUAAGUACUCUCUGUACUCAUUAUCAACCCAUCUGUGUAUUUCACCCGUUGCUUCCGCGGUUGACCCCGCGGGAGGUAUACAUCAAACCAUUGCAUUAUCAUGUUCUCAGUCUGAAAUGUAUAUAACAAAUGUUAAAA
RNAcentral lists this unclassified non-coding RNA (189 nucleotides) under plant metagenome. RNAcentral describes it as "partial contains small subunit ribosomal RNA and internal transcribed spacer 1". The stretch from base 1 to 46 matches the Rfam family "Eukaryotic small subunit ribosomal RNA", at positions 1786 to 1831 of the family's 1831-position model. The record is from RNAcentral.